CGUAAGACUCCAGUCAUCCUGUGGUUGACUUUCGAACGUCCUGUGGGAAAUUCGUCUGGUUGUCCUAGAAGCCUCUAGGUCACUGGCGGUGGUCCUAUCUGUAUAAAAGAGGCAUAGCUCACUUGGAGGUGUCCCAGUAUAAACUCGAGUGUAUGUGAGAGUGAGCUUAUCUGCAGUGUAUACGAGAAAAUGAAACUGACGCUCGGUAACACCUUUGUGAUUCUCGUGAUGUUGGGUGUCUUUGCUCUUUCGAGCCAAGCUUCUCCUGUACCAGGACCCGACCCAGAGGCCAAUCCCGUGGCUAGUCCGUUAUUUUGGGGGAAUAAUAACAACUGGUUGGGAAGUAUAUUAGGAACCAUCGCCUCUAUCAAGCAGCGUCUGAUCGCUCAGCUACUUAGCGAGCGAGGAAGUCCCACUACCUCCCCUCCUGUCUACACGCCAACACGAUAGAAGAAGAGAAGUAGACUCAUGAUGAUGAAGUAGAAGGAGAAGGAAGAUGUGAUAAUAGGAACUGAAUAAACAGUGAAUAUUUCCA
Long non-coding RNA from Macrobrachium nipponense, 535 nucleotides. RefSeq lists it as uncharacterized. NCBI's taxonomy places the organism in Eukaryota, Metazoa, Arthropoda, Malacostraca, Decapoda, Palaemonidae. The transcript has 2 exons. The record is from RefSeq and is a predicted model, not a curated record.